Molecule: long non-coding RNA, 367 nt
Organism: Lingula anatina
Lineage: Eukaryota; Metazoa; Brachiopoda; Lingulata; Lingulida; Lingulidae
Source: RefSeq, a predicted model, not a curated record
CCGUACAGCAACUUCUGCUUCAGUUUCAGCAGUUACUCUGAUAGGAAAACAUGGCAUGAUGCGCGCGCAGAUUGUGCUUCCCAGAAUGCAGAUCUGCUCUCUUAUUCCUCAGAAUGUGAAAUGCAAUGGCUAACUCAAAAAAUGCUGAAGUAUGAAAAGAGAGAUUCUCGUCUAAACAAGUGGUGGUCUAGCUUUGUAAAUAUCAGAGGGGGUUGGAAAUGGGCAGAGAAAAAUGGCGACAGAUCGCUCGCGAUCUGGAAAGAGGGGCCUCGCUCUAAACAUCGCUGUGGACUGGUGAGUGGGUCGUGGGGCGGGCGGCUAGCAAUAGGCAAUUGUGCGGGGAAAUUGCCUUAUAUUUGUAAGGCUA